RNAcentral lists this ribosomal RNA (500 nucleotides) under uncultured bacterium. Its description in RNAcentral is "bacterial SSU rRNA". It matches the Rfam family "Bacterial small subunit ribosomal RNA", at positions 9 to 526 of the family's 1533-position model. The record is from RNAcentral.
GAGUUUGAUCCUGGCUCAGGACGAACGCUGGCGGCGUGCCUAACACAUGCAAGUCGAGCGAGGAAGCCCCUUCGGGUGUGGAAUAGCGGCGGACGGGUGAGUAACACGUGGGUAACCUGCCUCAAAGAGGGGGAUAGCCUCCCGAAAGGGAGAUUAAUACCGCAUAGAAGGUAAAAAUCGCAUGAUAAAUGCCUUAAAGGAGCAAUCCGCUUUGAGAUGGGCCCGCGUCGCAUUAGCUAGUUGGAGGGAUAAAAGCCCCCCAAGGCGACGAUGCGUAGCCGACCUGAGAGGGUGAACGGCCACAUUGGAACUGAGAUACGGUCCUGACUCCUACGGGAGGCAGCAGUGGGGAAUAUUGCACAAUGGGGGAAACCCUGAUGCAGCAGCGCCGCGUGAGUGAAGAAGGUUUUCGGAUCGUAAAGCUCUGUCAUCCGGGACGAUAAUGACGGUACCGGAAGAGGAAGCCACGGCUAACUACGUGCCAGCAGCCGCGGUAAUAC